This 457-nucleotide ribosomal RNA is filed under the name uncultured bacterium. RNAcentral's name for it is "partial 16S ribosomal RNA". It matches the Rfam family "Bacterial small subunit ribosomal RNA", at positions 338 to 794 of the family's 1533-position model. The record is from RNAcentral.
CCUACGGGAGUUAGCAUCAGGGGGUAUUGCGCAAUGGGCGAAAGCCUGACGCAGUGACGCCGCGUGGGUGACGAAGGCCUUCGGGUCGUAAAGCCCUGUCGGGUGGGAUGAAAGCCUGGAGCGAUCCAGGUGUGACAGUACCACCCAAGAAAGCCCCGACUAACUACGUGCCAGCAGUCGCGGUAAUACGUAGGGGGCAGGCGAUGUCCGGAUUCACUGGGCGUAAAGGGCGUCUAGGCGGCUCGGCAAGUCGGACGUGAAAGUUCGGGGCUCAACCCCGAAAAGCCAUUCGAAACUGCCGGGCUUGAGUGCGGGAGAGGGUAGCGGAAUUCCCGGUGUAGCGGUGAAAUGCCCAGAUAUCGGGAGGAACACCCGUGGCGAAGGCGGCUGCCUGGACCGCAACUGACGCUGAAGCGCGAAAGCUAGGGGAGCGAACGGGAUUAGAUACCCCUGUAGU